Molecule: ribosomal RNA, 442 nt
Filed under: fungal sp.
Lineage: Eukaryota; Fungi
Description: SSU rRNA
Rfam family: Eukaryotic small subunit ribosomal RNA
Source: RNAcentral
UUCCGGUACUAGUCCGGUUCGGUUAGGUUAGUCGACCUACGUUAGUUACUAUUUGAUUUUCUCACCUUCUAAAGAACCGUAAUGCCAUUAAUUUGGUGUUACGGGGAAUUAGGACUGUUACCUUGAAAAAUUAGAGUGUUUAAAGCAGGCUCACGCUUGAAUACAUUAGCAUGGAAUAAUGAAAUAGGACAUCCGAUUCUAUUUUGUUGGUUUCUAGGAUCGAUGUAAUGAUUAAUAGGGAUAGUUGGGGGCAUUAGUAUUCAAUUGUCAGAGGUGAAAUUCUUGGAUUUAUUGAAGACUAACUACUGCGAAAGCAUUUGCCAAGGAUGUUUUCAUUAAUCAAGAACGAAAGUUAGGGGAUCGAAGACGAUCAGAUACCGUCGUAGUCUUAACCAUAAACUAUGCCGACUAGGGAUCGGAUGAUGUUAAUUUUUAAUGACUC